Gadus morhua (Atlantic cod) is the source of this 1688-nucleotide long non-coding RNA. The record is from Ensembl. Lineage: Eukaryota; Metazoa; Chordata; Actinopteri; Gadiformes; Gadidae.
GAGUCCAGCUCUUCUGAUGACAGCUCCUCUUCCUCAUCCUCCUCGUCUUCCUCCUCCUCUGAUAGUGAGGAUGAUGAGGUGAGAAGUCUAAACACACAGGAUAUAUUUUCAAUAUUAAAUGUCAGCUAUUAACAGGAAGUCAGCAUGAUUCUCUGUGCCUUCAAUCCACUUUCAUCUGUGUCUUCCAAAAAGAAAAAGAACAAGAAAAAGAAAGAUAAGAAAAAGAAGAAGGAUAAGAAGAAUAAAGACAAGAAGAAAGAUAAGAAGAAAGAUAAGAAAAAGAAGAAAAAGAAGGUGAGAUUCUCAUCCUUAAAUGCCCUUACUUACGGAGGUCAGUUGGCAUGUUUCAAUCGUCUUUCGUGAGGCGUCUGCAUUAAGUUUUUUCUGCUUUGAGUUACAGUUGACAUUAGCAAUUCAACUAAUAUUUUAUUUUAUUUUGUGAGAGCUUUAAACCUCCGGCCGUGUGAGUUUGCAGCUGCAGUCGUCUUUUGCAGGACUGGUAGUGUAAGUGUGUUGUUGUGUCUCUCAGGACGACAGCUCUGACUCAGACAGUGAUGAUGACAAAAAGAAGAAGAAGAAGAAGAAGAAGCAGAAGGUGUGUUUCUUCAGUGUCCAUGGAUAGGCAAUGCUGCUUCUUGUAGCCACAAUGAUCCACAGUGUUUAAACGUGCCUUUAUGUAAAAACGUUUUUUUCUUUACAAUUAGUCAAUGUAUAAUGGAAUUAGAAAAAAAAUAAUGCCAAUUUAUUUCCCGAUGUUCUUACAGGACUCAUCUGACAGUGAGGAUGACAAGAAGAAAAAGAAGAAGAAAGACAAAAAGAAAAAGGAUGCUUCCUCAUCUGACUCUGAUUCUUCUUGUGAUGAGAAGAAAAAGAAGAAGAAGAAGAAGGAUAAGAAGAAGAAGAAGAAGAAGAAGGAAAAGUCAAAGGACUCUGAUUCUUCAAGCAGUGAUGAUGAUAAGAAGAAAAAGAAGAAGAAAAAGAAGAAGAAGAAGCAGAAGAAGAAGGACUCCAGUUCAAGUUCAUCUGACAGUGACAGCGGCAAAGAUAAGGAUAAAAAGAAGAAGAAGAAGAAGAAGGAUAAGAAAAAGAAGAAGAAGAAGGACAAAGGUCCACCAAGUUCAUGUGAUAGUGAAGGUGGCAACGAUGAGAAGAAGAAGAAGGAUAAGAAGGGCUCAUCAGGGAGUGACACUGACAAGGAGAACAAGAAGCAGGACGCCAAAGACGACGGUCAAAGGGGAACGCCAACGGCGGGAGGCUCUGUUGAAACGCCGAAGUGUUCACUCCCCACGGAGAGGGAGCCCAUCCCCGGGAGUGGCGGUAGCAUCAGCACCGUCACACUGAAGGGUUCGCUCCCCAAGGAGAGGGAGCCCAUCCCCGGGUGUGGCGGUAGCAUCAGCACCGUCACGCUGAAGGGUUCGCUCCCCAAGGAGAGGGAGCCCAUCCCCGGGUGUGGCGGUAGCAUCAGCACCGUCACGCUGAAGGGUUCGCUCCCCGCACAGCGGGAGCCCAUCCCCGGCAGCCGCGGUAGCAGCAGCACCGUCAGCUUCCCCAGCAGCUCCGUCAGCACAGUCAGGCUCAGCAGCGGCGGUGGCGGUACUGGUGGUGUUUGUGUUGGUGGUGGUGGUGUUGGUGGCACCAGCGCCCCAGCCCCUGUAUUGCUCCCAUCCAGAUCAUUGGUUAAACUGGAG